UACGUAGGUGGCAAGCGUUGUCCGGAAUUAUUGGGCGUAAAGCGCGCGCAGGCGGUUCUUUAAGUCUGAUGUGAAAUCUCGCGGCUCAACCGCGAGCGGUCAUUGGAAACUGGAGGACUUGAGUGCAGAAGAGGAGAGUGGAAUUCCACGUGUAGCGGUGAAAUGCGUAGAGAUGUGGAGGAACACCAGUGGCGAAGGCGACUCUCUGGUCUGUAACUGACGCUGAGGCGCGAAAGCGUGGGGAGCAAACAGG
This 253-nucleotide ribosomal RNA is filed under the name uncultured bacterium. RNAcentral describes it as "partial 16S ribosomal RNA". It matches the Rfam family "Bacterial small subunit ribosomal RNA", at positions 524 to 776 of the family's 1533-position model. The record is from RNAcentral.